ACGAACGCUGGCGGCGUGCUUAACACAUGCAAUCGAACGAGAAGCCCUUCGGGGUGGAUUAGUGGCACGGGUGAGUAAGCAAUCUGCCCUGCACUCUGGGACAAGCCCUGGAAACGGGGUCUAAUACCGGAUAUCACUCUUGCAGGCAUCUGUGAGGGUCGAAAGCUCCGGCGGUGCAGGAUGAGCCCGCGGCCUAUCAGCUUGUUGGUGAGGUAAUGGCUCACCAAGGCGGACGGGUAGCCGGCCUGAGAGGGCGACCGGCCACACUGGGACUGAGACCCCCAGACUCCUACGGGAGGCAGCAGUGGGGAAUAUUGCACAAUGGGCGAAAGCCUGAUGCAGCGACGCCGCGUGAGGGAUGACGGCCUUCGGGUUGUAAACCUCUUUCAGCAGGGAAGAAGCGAAAGUGACGGUACCUGCAGAAGAAGCGCCGGCUAACUACGUGCCAGCAGCCGCGGUAAUACGUAGGGCGCAAGCGUUGUCCGGAAUAUUGGGCGUAAAGAGCUCGUAGGCGGCUUGUCGUCGGGUGUGAAAGCCCGGGGCUUAACCCCGGGUCUGCAUUCGAUACGGGCUAGCUAGAGUGUGGUAGGGGAGAUCGGAAUUCCUGGUGUAGCGGUGAAAUGCGCAGAUAUCAGGAGGAACACCGGUGGCGAAGGCGGAUCUCUGGGCCAUUACUGACGCUGAGGAGCGAAAGCGUGGGGAGCGAACAGGAUUAGAUACCCUGGUAGUCCACGCCGUAAACGGUGGGAACUAGGUGUGCGACAUUCCACGUCGUCGGUGCCGCAGCUAACGCAUUAAGUUCCCCGCCUGGGGAGUACGGCCGCAAGGCUAAAACUCAAAGGAAUUGACGGGGGCCCGCACAAGCAGCGGAGCAUGGCUUAAUUCGACGCAACGCGAAGAACCUUACCAAGGCUUGACAUACACCGGAAACGGCCAGAGAUGGUCGCCCCCUUGUGGUCGGUGUACAGGUGGUGCAUGGCUGUCGUCAGCUCGUGUCGUGAGAUGUUGGGUUAAGUCCCGCAACGAGCGCAGUUCUGUGUUGCCAGCAUGUCCUUCGGGAUGAUGGGGACUCACAGGACCGCCGGGGUCAACUCGAGGAAGGUGGGGACGACGUCAAGUCAUCAUGCCCCUUAUGUCUUGGGCUGCACACGUGCUACAAUGGCCGGUACAAAGAGCAGCGAUACCGUGAGGUGGAGCGAAUCUCAAAAAGCCGGUCUCAGUUCGGAUUGGGGUGCAACUCGACCCCAUGAAGUCGGAGUUGCUAGUAAUCGCAGAUCAGCAUUGCUGCGGUGAAUACGUUCCCGGGCCUUGUACACACGAAAGUCGGUAACACCCAAGCCGGGCCCAACCCCUUGUGGGGAGCUGUCGAAGGUGGGACUGGCGAUUGGGACGAAGUCGUAAAGGUAGCCGUACCGGAA
This 1418-nucleotide ribosomal RNA is filed under the name Streptomyces sp. CAI-85. RNAcentral describes it as "bacterial SSU rRNA". It matches the Rfam family "Bacterial small subunit ribosomal RNA". The record is from RNAcentral. Lineage: Bacteria; Bacillati; Actinomycetota; Actinomycetes; Kitasatosporales; Streptomycetaceae.